CCUACGGGAGGCAGCAGUGAGGAAUAUUGGUCAAUGGACGAGAGUCUGAACCAGCCAAGUAGCGUGAAGGAUGACUGCCCUAUGGGUUGUAAACUUCUUUUAUAUGGGAACAAAACGUUCCACGCGUGGGCGUUUGUAUGUACCUUAUGAAUAAGGAUCGGCUAACUCCGUGCCAGCAGCCGCGGUAAUACGGAGGAUCCGAGCGUUAUCCGGAUUUAUUGGGUUUAAAGGGGGCGCAGGCGGUUUGUUAAGUCAGUUGUGAAAGUUUGGGGCUCAACCGUAAAAUUGCAGUUGAAACUGGCAGUCUUGAGUAGAGUAGAGGUGGGCGGAAUGCGUGGUGUAGCGGUGAAAUGCUUAGAUAUCGCGAAGAACUCCGAUUGCGAAGGCAGUUCGCUGGCCUGCAACUGACACUGAGGCUCGAAAGUGUGGGUAUCGAACAGGAUUAGAUACCCGUGUAGUC
RNAcentral lists this ribosomal RNA (460 nucleotides) under uncultured bacterium. RNAcentral's name for it is "partial 16S ribosomal RNA". It matches the Rfam family "Bacterial small subunit ribosomal RNA", at positions 338 to 795 of the family's 1533-position model. The record is from RNAcentral.